RNAcentral lists this ribosomal RNA (252 nucleotides) under uncultured bacterium. RNAcentral describes it as "partial 16S ribosomal RNA". It matches the Rfam family "Bacterial small subunit ribosomal RNA", at positions 524 to 776 of the family's 1533-position model. The record is from RNAcentral.
UACGGAGGAUGCGAGCGUUAUCCGGAUUUAUUGGGUUUAAAGGGUGCGUAGGCGGGCUUUUGAGUCAGCGGUAAAAAUUCGGGGCUCAACCCCGUCCGGCCGUUGAAACUGGGGGUCUUGAGUGGGCGAGAAGAAGGCGGAAUGCGUGGUGUAGCGGUGAAAUGCAUAGAUAUCACGCAGAACCCCGAUUGCGAAGGCAGCCUUCCGGCGCCCUACUGACGCUGAGGCACGAAAGUGCGGGGAUCGAACAGG